UACGAAGGGUGCAAACGUUGCUCGGAAUUAUUGGGCGUAAAGCGCACGUAGGCGGCUUUGCAAGUCGGAUGUGAAAUCCCUCGGCUUAACCAAGGAAGUGCAUCCGAAACUGCAGAGCUUGAGUACUUAAGAGGAUCGCGGAAUUCCCGGUGUAGAGGUGAAAUUCGUAGAUAUCGGGAGGAACACCGGUGGCGAAGGCGGCGACCUGGGUCGAGACUGACGCUGAGGUGCGAAAGCGUGGGGAGCAAACAGG
This 253-nucleotide ribosomal RNA is filed under the name uncultured bacterium. RNAcentral's name for it is "partial 16S ribosomal RNA". It matches the Rfam family "Bacterial small subunit ribosomal RNA", at positions 524 to 776 of the family's 1533-position model. The record is from RNAcentral.